GAUGAACGCUGGCGGCAUGGCUAAAACAUGCAAGUCGAACGAUCCCUUCGGGGAGAGUGGCGAAAGGGCGAGGAAUAGAAUCGAAUGUACCCCAAGGUGGGGAGUAGCCUCUGGAAACGGAGGGUAAUACCCAUGUGCUCUACGGAGGAAAGGUUUACCGCCUUGGGAGCAGCGAUUCUCCUAUCAGGUAGUUGGUGAGGUAACGGCUCACCAAGCCGAAGACGGGUAGCGGGUGUGAGAGCAUGACCCGCCGCAUCGGGACUGAGACACUGCCCGGACUCCUACGGGAGGCGUGCAGUAACGAAUCUUCCGCAAUGGGCGAAAGCCUGACGGAGCAAUGCCGCGUGUGGGAU
Molecule: ribosomal RNA, 353 nt
Filed under: uncultured bacterium
Lineage: Bacteria
Description: bacterial SSU rRNA
Rfam family: Bacterial small subunit ribosomal RNA
Source: RNAcentral